This 497-nucleotide ribosomal RNA is filed under the name uncultured bacterium. Its description in RNAcentral is "partial 16S ribosomal RNA". It matches the Rfam family "Bacterial small subunit ribosomal RNA", at positions 28 to 507 of the family's 1533-position model. The record is from RNAcentral.
GAUGAACGCUGGCGGCGUGCCUAAUACAUGCAAGUCGAGCGAACGGACGAGAAGCUUGCUUCUCUGAUGUUAGCGGCGGACGGGUGAGUAACACGUGGAUAACCUACCUAUAAGACUGGGAUAACUUCGGGAAACCGGAGCUAAUACCGGAUAAUAUUUUGAACCGCAUGGUUCAAAAGUGAAAGACGGUCUUGCUGUCACUUAUAGAUGGAUCCGCGCUGCAUUAGCUAGUUGGUAAGGUAACGGCUUACCAAGGCAACGAUGCAUAGCCGACCUGAGAGGGUGAUCGGCGACACUGGAACUGAGACACGGUCCAGACUCCUACGGGAGGCAGCAGUAGGGAAUCUUCCGCAAUGGGCGAAAGCCUGACGGAGCAACGCCGCGUGAGUGAUGAAGGUCUUCGGAUCGUAAAACUCUGUUAUGAGGGAAGAACAUAUGUGUAAGUAACUGUGCACAACUUGACGGUACCUAAUCAGAAAGCCACGGCUAACUACGUG